GAGUUUGAUCCUGGCUCAGAACGAACGCUGGCGGCGUGGAUUAGGCAUGCAAGUCGAACGCGAAAGAGGGAGCAAUCCCUUGAGUAGAGUGGCGAACGGGUGAGUAACGCGUGAGGAACCUGCCUUUGACAGGGGGAUAACACUCCUAACGGGGUGCUAAUACCGCAUGAGACCACGGGGCUGCAUGGCCCUGCGGUCAAAGAUGGCCUCUAUUUAUAAGCUAUCGGUCGAAGAUGGCCUCGCGUCCCAUUAGCUUGUUGGCGGUGUAAAAGACCACCAAGGCGACGAUGGGUAGCUGGUCUGAGAGGAUGGUCAGCCACACUGGGACUGAGAUACGGCCCAGACUCCUACGGGAGGCAGCAGUCGAGAGGCUUCGGCAAUGGGGGAAACCCUGACCGAGCGACGCCGCGUGAGGGAUGAAGGCCCUUGGGUUGUAAACCUCUUUUGUUCGGGAAGAAAUGCGAUCAGGUGAAUAAUCUGGUCGUUUGACGGUACCGGACGAAUAAGCUCCGGCUAACUCCGUGCCAGCAGCCGCGGUAACACGGGGGGAGCAAGCGUUGUUCGGAAUCACUGGGCGUAAAGGGCGUGUAGGCGGUUCGGUAAGUGGGAUGUGAAAUGCCCCGGCUCACCCGGGGACCGGCAUCCCAAACUGCCAGACUUGAGUAUGGGAGAGGAUGAGGG
RNAcentral lists this ribosomal RNA (681 nucleotides) under uncultured bacterium. RNAcentral's name for it is "bacterial SSU rRNA". It matches the Rfam family "Bacterial small subunit ribosomal RNA", at positions 9 to 664 of the family's 1533-position model. The record is from RNAcentral.